GCCCUCGUCGUUCAACGGAUAGGACACUAGAUUGCGGAUCUAGUAAUUGAAGUUCGAUUCUUCACGAGGGCACCA
RNAcentral lists this transfer RNA (75 nucleotides) under Candidatus Yanofskybacteria bacterium RIFOXYA1_FULL_44_17. RNAcentral's name for it is "tRNA-Arg". It matches the Rfam family "tRNA". From Rfam's summary of the family: Transfer RNA (tRNA) molecules are approximately 80 nucleotides in length. RNAcentral also lists the same sequence under 7 other names. Lineage: Bacteria; Candidatus Yanofskyibacteriota. The record is from RNAcentral.